Molecule: transfer RNA, 73 nt
Filed under: Gammaproteobacteria bacterium
Lineage: Bacteria; Pseudomonadati; Pseudomonadota; Gammaproteobacteria
Description: tRNA-Pro
Rfam family: tRNA
About the family: Transfer RNA (tRNA) molecules are approximately 80 nucleotides in length. Their secondary structure includes four short double-helical elements and three loops (D, anti-codon, and T loops).
Source: RNAcentral
CGGGACGUAGCACAGUUUGGUAGCGUAUUUGCAUGGGAUGCAAUAGUCGCUGAUUUAAAUUAUGUCGUCCCGA